This 270-nucleotide long non-coding RNA is filed under the name Elaeis guineensis (African oil palm). RNAcentral's name for it is "long non-coding RNA (EGUI_LNC027220)". Lineage: Eukaryota; Viridiplantae; Streptophyta; Magnoliopsida; Arecales; Arecaceae. The record is from RNAcentral.
UGGCAUUGGAACUGAUUGAUGGGACCUCUAGACCUUCGGGGACCUGGGACUCCCACUUCGAUCUAGUAAUGACCUGGAGGGUUUUCAUAGUCUAGGAGUCGUUACCCCCAAUAUACCUUAAGGUCAACUUUGAUGGGAGUGUCAGAGAUAGAAGCGGUAGCACUGUAUUUGUGAUUUGAGGGCCUGAUUCCAAAUUGGUGGUGGCGGGGGGUAUCAUUUUUUUGAGCCCACGGUUCCUCGAGUGGAACUACAUGCAGCUUGGACAGGGUC